ACACCUCCCAGCCCAGAUGUAAACUCAGCACCAAGCAAAAUCAGCUUCCCCUCGAAUCUGUGUGUUCUGUGUUCUUCCAUAGAAGACUGAACAUCCCAGUGCUGAGCCAUUUGUUAUCCUGUGCAUGACACCUCUGGGGGUGACAGCCACAUUCAUCAAAACUCCAGUCUCUUAAAGGGAGAAUGUUCAGGAACUAUCUGAGCAGCUAUCGGAGAAUUCACCCUUGCCUCAUGACUUUUCUAAAACUUAAUAAAAAUCUUCUUUUCAAUCAAACUCUUCCAAAGGAUACAGACCUCAUUUCUCUAAUUUCACGGAGAAGCCAAAGCAAAUAUCAACCAGUUUCUAUGUUUUAGUUUCAACUGCCUUAACGAUGCUCUCUUACUCAUGCCAUGCUGUUGAUUUCCUUUCUGACUGGCUCACACAAGGAUUUUACUCAAGAUAGAUUCUGCUCUGUGUUUGUACUUUGAGUCACAUACCUUUGGAGCCUUUGAGCUUGAAGGGAUGUUAGAUCUCCUUACCUCUUUGAAGACGAAGAAAUGAAAGCUGGAAGAAGGGAAGGGGCAUCCUAGGUUUACUCUCAUGAAUGGCACAUUCAAGAUCAAAUGAGCUCUGCACAAAAGCAAAAUACAUACAACAGAACAAAAAAUUAAACAUGUUUAGUUUUCUGCUAAUAGCAUAGCAUCUAUAACACCCUAAAGACAAUCUUCUUUGCUCAACAUUUCAGAGUUUACCCAAAGCUUUCACACAAAUUAUUUUAAUCCUCACAACCAUGCAAGGUUUUUUUUUUGUUUUGUUUUGUUUUGUUUUCUUAAACAACUGAGGAAAUGAGCACUCAGAGUGGCCAAAAGGACAGCAAAGGUCAUAUCUUUGGGUCUGAAUGACAGCUCAAAUCCAAAGGUUCAGCUCCACAGGCAGGAACACAUCACAAAAUGAUUCUGUCCAUCAGUGAGCAGCAGUGAACACAAACCUACUUCACAAUCUAAAUAGAUUCACUUUUCCCAUUGGUCUGAAACUUUCCAAACUUAGCUUUGACCAGCAAAAUUGUCCUGCUGUCCCUGGAAGUGG
This 1065-nucleotide long non-coding RNA is filed under the name Capra hircus (goat). RNAcentral describes it as "lncRNA (ENSCHIG00010014840.1)". The record is from RNAcentral. Lineage: Eukaryota; Metazoa; Chordata; Mammalia; Artiodactyla; Bovidae.